This 31-nucleotide non-coding RNA is filed under the name Rattus norvegicus (Norway rat). Lineage: Eukaryota; Metazoa; Chordata; Mammalia; Rodentia; Muridae. The record is from RNAcentral.
UCAUAGGCUGCAUUUCCUAUCAGUAUGAGGU